ANGACUCUCGGCAACGGAUAUCUCGGCUCACGCAUCGAUGAAGAACGUAGCAAAAUGCGAUACUUGGUGUGAAUUGCAGAAUCCCGUGAACCAUCGAGUUUUUGAACGCAAGUUGCGCCCGAAGCCAUUCGGCCGAGGGCACGUCUGCCUGGGCGUCACGC
Molecule: ribosomal RNA, 161 nt
Filed under: Centaurea macrocephala
Lineage: Eukaryota; Viridiplantae; Streptophyta; Magnoliopsida; Asterales; Asteraceae
Description: 5.8S ribosomal RNA
Rfam family: 5.8S ribosomal RNA
About the family: 5.8S ribosomal RNA (5.8S rRNA) is a component of the large subunit of the eukaryotic ribosome.
Source: RNAcentral